AUGUGUGCAGUGUCACACUUACACUCCCAUCAGAAUCACUGGACUGGGGAGAGGAUCAUUUUCAGAGGAAAUCUGGGGAACAAAGGGUGGUCCUGCAGACCCCACACAUGCCUCCUACAUGUGAUCAUUCCAGGGGUGGCCAGUGAGGGCUCCCAUGUAGAAGUAUUUACAAGGGUAAAAGCCUGCUCAGAGGCCUUGGGGCUCCACCUGCCAGCCUCUUCCUUUGGAGCAAAACACUGUGGCUGCCAGGACCUGCGUCUCAGAAAACCCCAGGAAACUUCAAAGGGGCCUGUCCACCUCACUGGCUUUGAUCUCAGAAGGGGACUUGCUAAGAAGCAUGAUCAAAAGGAAAAUGGACGGUUCCAGAAAUGAGCAACAAAACAUGCUCCUGUCUUGCUCACCUGGACGUCGUAAGGACGAGAAGUGGAGGCUGUCAUGGAGCCAGGCUGGGGUCUUUGGAUACAAGAAUACUAUGAGGAUGGUGCUGACCCUAGGGCAUCAGGACCACAGGUGCCGUGUGUCUUUGCAAGCUGCUGCCCCUCUCUGGGCCCCAGUUUGAGCUUUUAUAAUAAUAACUGCCCUCACUCUCUCCUACUGCACAGUCACAUCACAUGCCAUGGCAUUCUGGGCCAGAUGGUCUUGGCAGAUCCUUUCCAGAUCAAUAUUUUAUGGAUCUAAGUUCCAGGAGCAAGAUGAUCAGUCAGAUGAGACAGAAUUCACACUUUAAAAUCAUUUCUAAAAGCCAGCUGUCCAGAUUCCAGAUUCUGGUAUGCGAGCAAAGAAAAGGAUGCUUCUUGAACAGGGAAAAAAACAGGCAUGAGCCCCAGUGAGGAUGGCAGGUGGGUUGCUGGGUCUUGAGUGACCUCAGCAGGCUUUCCUGGUGGCUUAGACGGUAAAGAAUCUGCCUGCAGUAUGGGAGACUUGGGUUUGAUCCGUGGGUUGGGAAGAUUCCCCUGGAGGAGAGCAUGGCUACCCACUCCAGUAUUCUUGCCUGGACUCCAUGGACAGAGGAACCUGGUGGGCUAUGGUCUAUGAGCUCGCAAAGUGUCAGACACGACUGAGUGACUUUCACUUUCACUUUGGCGAGUGGUUACCAGGUGGGAAGAGAGAAGGGGCAGCAAACACAGUUCCUUCCUUUAAGGCUCCUGACCUUGAGGACUGAGGGAGGGGCGAAGACAUUCGUGGGGAAUGCAGGUUGGGGGGCAGCACUGAGAACGGCACCCCUGGGGCAGUGGAAACGCCAAGGGCCGGGGAGCCAGGAGAGACUGGGGUGAGGGCAUGGGAUGAGGCUGUGACUGAUGGUGGGGGUGGCCUUGUCGGGGAGCACAGACCCUCUUCUGCCGCCUGAGGUGAGGAGGGUAAUGCAGGCGCAGCUGGGCCUUGAUUGUCUUGGCAAGUGGGAAUUGAGUUGUGCGUGAGAAGGGGAGGCAUGGUGGGUUUCUCAGCACAGCUGAGGGCCUGGCCCUGGAGGGACAGCGGGUCUGCCGGUGCCAGGACAUGCAGGGCAUGGAGACGGGGUGAGGAAGCAGACCUGCCACUUACGGGGCCUGGGCCUGGGAGGGGCUGGCGUGCCCCUGGCAGGUGGAGACUGGCCGCUGGGAGUUGGGGUCGAGGACCACACAGGCCCUCUGAAGCUGCGCAUGCUCCCUCCAGGUGCUCCCCAAACAUGCCUCUGGGGGUCUGCCUGACGUCCAGGGGCUAAGACCUCGCCUUCCUAUGCAGGGGGUAUGGGUUCCACUCCCGGUCGGGGAGCUGAGAUCCCACAUGCCUGGGGGCCAGAAAAUGAGAACAUUAACAACAGUGGUAAUAUUGUAGCAAAUUCAAUUAAGACCUUAAAAAAACAAAACAAAGCCCCCAUACUUCAGUUUCCAAGUCAUCCUCACAGUGGGAAUGCUGCAGUCUUCCCACAACAGGGCGGCUCACUCUCCAGGAGGUGCCAGAGUUGGAAGCAACCUCCUCACUCCUUCUAGAGGGUACAUGACUGCCCCGGGCCCCUCUUUCAGAAUGUGCUGUUAAUCACUCUGGACUUAGGAGUCUGAAUUCAGGGGAACAUUUACUAGCGUGUGGGAGAAACACAGGUUGGAAUAAAAGGAGAAAUUAGAUUUCCUUUGCA
Molecule: long non-coding RNA, 2113 nt
Filed under: Bos indicus x Bos taurus (hybrid cattle)
Lineage: Eukaryota; Metazoa; Chordata; Mammalia; Artiodactyla; Bovidae
Description: lncRNA (ENSBIXG00000024919.1)
Source: RNAcentral